GUCUUAAUCCCUUUUAAAUCAGGGCAUCGGUCAAAC
This is a non-coding RNA of Thiorhodospira sibirica ATCC 700588, 36 nucleotides long. Lineage: Bacteria; Pseudomonadati; Pseudomonadota; Gammaproteobacteria; Chromatiales; Ectothiorhodospiraceae. The record is from Rfam.